This 660-nucleotide ribosomal RNA is filed under the name Triticum aestivum (bread wheat). Its description in RNAcentral is "partial small subunit ribosomal RNA". The record is from RNAcentral. Lineage: Eukaryota; Viridiplantae; Streptophyta; Magnoliopsida; Poales; Poaceae.
CUCUGGGAUGGGAAUGUUCUUCUGGAGAGCCCAGAUGACAUCUCCACCCAUAGUUACUCCUUCUAUAAGGACUUGUUUUCGGCUGAGCCGCGUGGAGGUGUAUCCCUCUAUGCUGACUUUUGGCCGCUGGCCGAUCGGGUCUCCGAUGCGGAGAAUGUGGAGCUUACUCUUCCUUUCUCUCCCGAGGAGGUGGGAUGGGCGAUUGCUUCUAUGAAAGCUUGCUCAGCUCCGGGGCCAGAUGGCUUUCCGGUAAUUUUCUUCCAGAAAUUCUGGGAGAUCCUGUGUCCGGUCAUUAUGCCCAUGUUCCAUGAGUUUUAUAUCGGAACUCUGGACAUGGCUAGGAUUAACUAUGGUGUCAUAUCUCUAAUCACAAAAGUAGUUGGGGCAACAAAUAUUCGGCAAUUUUAUCCCAUCACGGUGAUCAACGUGUUGGAGCGAAUCUUUGCGAAGGUUUGCGCGACCCGUUUAUCCCCCGUGGCGGAAAGGAUUGCCCACCCCCUUCAGUCCGCAUUCUUGAAGGGCCGACAGAUCCAUGACGGGAUUCUUGCCCUUCACGAGAUUGUCCAUGAGGUGGCGUCGAAGGAGAUUAAGGGGGUCGUCCUCAAAUUGGACUUCCAGAAGGCGUAUGACCGUCUGGACUGGUCCUUUUUUAGGUCGGUG